RNAcentral lists this ribosomal RNA (308 nucleotides) under uncultured archaeon. RNAcentral's name for it is "bacterial SSU rRNA". It matches the Rfam family "Archaeal small subunit ribosomal RNA", at positions 526 to 834 of the family's 1478-position model. The record is from RNAcentral.
CGGCCCAGUAAGUCCUCCGUUAAAUCCAACGGCUCAACCGUUGGGCUGCGGGGGAUACUGCUGGGCUAGGGGACGGGAGAGGCCGGGGGUAGUCCCGGGGUAGGGGCGAAAUCCGAUAAUCCCGGGAGGACCACCAGUGGCGAAGGCGCCCGGCUGGAACGCGCCUGACGGUGAGGGCCGAAAGCCGGGGGAGCGAACCGGAUUAGAUACCCGGGUAGUCCCAGCCGUAAACGAUGUAGGCUCGGUGUUGGGCUGCCUCAGUGGCAGCCCAGUGCCGCAGGGAAGCCGUUAAGCCUACCGCCUGGGGA